AAAAAAGCAGUCCUCUGCUUGGAGAUUCUCUAGGUGCUUGUAAAGAUGGAUAUCCUUGCACUUAAUUAUCUUGGCAACAAUACCAAGUUGCCUCCGGAUUCCCACUUCAUCAAGCCGGAAAUUAUGCCUGGCCUUCUUCAUGAAGCCCACAAAGCACCAAAAGGCUUCAAAAUCCUCCUCCAUCACUGCAAUAAUUGGAGAAAGCAAAUCACUCAUUCCCUGACAGUAACCAAUCUCAGGAUCAUAUAGUGCAUAGGCCUCAAGGAUAGCCACCAGGCGAGUAGCAUGAAAGAUCCUGCAAGGCUCCAAGUGAUCAUAAUCCUUCAGACCAACAUUCUCAGCCAAUCGCCGUGCCUUCAGCUCUGACAUUGCAGCCUGAGUUGGAGAGUACAUGAUCCAUUCAGCAUUUGCCCGCACGGCAUCAACCCGAAUGAUUCUCUGCCAUGUGGCAAAAUUUUCGUCUUUUUGGAAAUCACUUUCUGCAUCAGGAUGGGAAUUCUCCAGUGCAGGCACGCUAAGAUCCUUUUCUUUGAUAGUUUCAGUUGCAAUGAAAAGUUCCAUGUUUUCAGGUUCUUCAGAUGAGUCAGAGUCCGUAGAAUCAGUGUUACCAGCAAAGACUUCUUCACAGGUGAGCACACUCCUGUCACAAUCUUCCAAUAUCAAGUCAGAUCUCUGAAGAGUUUGAUCACAGUUAUCUGAACCCUCAGCAGCUAAGCUGCAUCCCUCAGUGAAAGAUGACUUUAUAGCACUAACAUCAUCUUCAAAUUCAGGAGAAUCAAUAACUUGAUUAAACUCUCCGCUGUUCUCAUUGUUGCUGGUUACAGUAGUUUCCUUCAACUUCAAGCUCUUCUCUCUUUGUUUAAGAUUUUGCUGGCACCGUUUCUGCAGAUUCUCAUAUUCUUUCCUCUUCUGAGCUCGAGUAUGAUCUCUUUCUUCCUUGGAACUAUUCACAUCAUAGACUCCAAGGAGAAACGGCCAAACUUCUGCUCUAAUACUUGGAUCAACACCUCCACUGCGGGCUUUCUUUAAAAACUUAACACCACCAUCAUAGAGUUUUCCAUCAGCUGUAAAUAAACUCUUCCAUUGCUUUGGGAGAAGUGCGAGUUUUCUUCUUCUAAAUGACCAAGGUGAUUUAUGACCACCCC
This 1145-nucleotide unclassified non-coding RNA is filed under the name Hevea brasiliensis (rubber tree). Lineage: Eukaryota; Viridiplantae; Streptophyta; Magnoliopsida; Malpighiales; Euphorbiaceae. The record is from RNAcentral.